RNAcentral lists this ribosomal RNA (515 nucleotides) under uncultured Bacteroides sp. RNAcentral describes it as "bacterial SSU rRNA". It matches the Rfam family "Bacterial small subunit ribosomal RNA", at positions 8 to 496 of the family's 1533-position model. The record is from RNAcentral. Lineage: Bacteria; Pseudomonadati; Bacteroidota; Bacteroidia; Bacteroidales; Bacteroidaceae.
AGAGUUUGAUCCUGGCUCAGGACGAACGCUGGCGGCGUGCCUAAUACAUGCAAGUCGAACGGUCUUUUCUAUGGAAGCUUGCUUCCACUGAGAAGAUAGUGGCGAACGGGUGAGUAACACGUGGGUAACCUGCCCAUAAGAGGGGGAUAACAUCCGGAAACGGGUGCUAAUACCGCAUAGUUUUCUUGAUCGCAUGAUCGAGAAAGGAAAGACGGCCUUUGUGCUGUCGCUUAUGGAUGGACCCGCGGCGUAUUAGUUAGUUGGUGAGGUAAUGGCUCACCAAGACGAUGAUACGUAGCCGACCUGAGAGGGUGAUCGGCCACAUUGGGACUGAGACACGGCCCAAACUCCUACGGGAGGCAGCAGUAGGGAAUCUUCCGCAAUGGACGAAAGUCUGACGGAGCAACGCCGCGUGAGUGAAGAAGGUUUUCGGRUCGUAAAACUCUGUUGUCAGAGAAGAACAAGUAGGAGAGUAACUGCUCCGGSCUUGACGGUAUYUGAMCMRAAAGSCMCGG